CCAGUCUGUCUGUACAUUCUGGGUUGCCCAUACCAGGUGCAGAAUCUGGCGCUUUCCCUUAUUGAACUUCAUGUUGUUGCUGGUUGCCCAGUCAUCUGAUUUGUCAAGGUCCCUCUGCAGGGCCUCCCUGCUCUGUAGGGAGUCAAAACUCCUCCCUGUUUAGUAUAAUCUGUGACCUUGGUUAGUGUCCCUUCCAGUCCUGCCUUCAAGACGUUAUUGAAGACAUUGAGUAGCACAGGAUCAGGAUGAAGCCCUGUGGAAGCCUCCAGUGACAGCUGAAUGCAGGAUAUUUUAUCCAGAAGGGUACUGGAGACAAUAUUGAAAGCUUUACAGAAAUCUAAAAAAGAUUACAUCAACUGUCCUCUCUUCUUCAACUAGGGUCUCCUGCAACAUUCUUUGUAGUUCCUGUUAUGAGAAGAGGCAAAACCAAAAAAUAUCAGAGGACUUUUUUUCUCAGUGUCCUUGCUGAUGUGUGCAGUAAGGCUGAACAGGUGGGAAGACAUGGUGUCUCAGCUCGCCUUGGGAAAUGAGAUACAGCUGUGCCCAAGUUUUAUGAGUUUCUGAGUUAUGUAAGCAAUUUGUCAUGACACACAUAACUUCAUGGUUUGCUUUUUGUUUGACCCUGCUGAAGCUGAAAUAAAAUUACUGGGGACCUGGAUGAUUUUGGCUGCUGUUGUCAGGAAGAAGAGUGACUCAAGAAAAAGUGGCAUCUAUCAGCAGGAGCAUAUCAUAACCAAAUGCCAGGCAAAGACGGGAAGUAAUCCAUGCUCAAAAGCAUGUUCAGAUCCCAGUCUUCCCCCAGCACUCUCCUGUUUUGUCCAAGACUUCUUCCUAUGAUAUGAGAGGAGGCAAAGCAGAGAGGAGAUGAGGAUGAUGUUAAAUCCUAAUAUGAUGGAUGUAUUUCUAGUGUCUUGCA
This is a long non-coding RNA of Passer domesticus (house sparrow), 916 nucleotides long. RefSeq lists it as uncharacterized. NCBI's taxonomy places the organism in Eukaryota, Metazoa, Chordata, Aves, Passeriformes, Passeridae. The transcript is spliced from 4 exons. The record is from RefSeq and is a predicted model, not a curated record.